AACUUUAGCAAAUUACCCAAUUUUACAUCGCUUCAUUUGAUAUAAGAGCAAAGAUACCUAGACUUUAUGUAUCAGUCAAUCGUAAAUUCGCAACGUUUGUAUACCCUCCUCAAUCAAUAUGAAGAACGUACUCGUAAUUUCCGCUUUCUUGAUGAUGGUGAUUCUCACUGCCCAUUUGAGCAGCGUGGAAGCGGGAGGAUUCAGUUUGGGCUGCACCAUAUCCUGUGGAAUAUGGAACGCUUGCCGUGGAAAGUCCGCUCUUUCUGGAAGUCUCACGCAAUGUGGACCAGAACCUUCAGGCUGUCGCUGUACUUCUUUUUAUUGGGAGUAAAGCUAAACUAGUAUUUUUCAAUUGAUUACUUAUUUAUAAAUUUGUGCUAUAUUUAUCUAUUAAUAAACAUUUUUUUAAUACA
Photinus pyralis (common eastern firefly) is the source of this 413-nucleotide long non-coding RNA. RefSeq lists it as uncharacterized. The record is from RefSeq and is a predicted model, not a curated record. NCBI's taxonomy places the organism in Eukaryota, Metazoa, Arthropoda, Insecta, Coleoptera, Lampyridae. The transcript is spliced from 2 exons.